Small nucleolar RNA from Rhododendron vialii, 108 nucleotides. RefSeq annotates it as small nucleolar RNA snoR100. Lineage: Eukaryota; Viridiplantae; Streptophyta; Magnoliopsida; Ericales; Ericaceae. The record is from RefSeq and is a predicted model, not a curated record. The transcript has a single exon.
GACAGAGGGCUUCACCUUAAUUUGCACAAAAAUUGAUUUGGGUUUCUAGGCUUGUCCUCUCUGAUGCCAUUUAGCUUUGAUUUGGGAGCAUGGUUUUAUAACAAAAUG